Long non-coding RNA from Phascolarctos cinereus (koala), 1583 nucleotides. Lineage: Eukaryota; Metazoa; Chordata; Mammalia; Diprotodontia; Phascolarctidae. The record is from Ensembl.
CCCUGAAAGGCAUAAGAUUUAGAACAUGAAGAGACACCAGAAAUCAACUCUAAAUUAAACAGAAACCAAGCAAACCCAGAAUUUUGGCCCACUUCUGACUCCGAAUUCAGGGCCCUUUCAAAAAGAAAAAUGGUUUUAUUUACUUUUUAGCUUUUCUUGUUAAGAUAACAAGGCAGGAAGGAGCUUGACUUGCCACAUCUCUGAGCUAAUGUGCAAUUAUAGAUAAAGCCCAGGCUGGAGAUUUAACUUUUAGUCCCAGGUUUGGCCCUAGACUACUUACUGAGUGACCUCGGGUGAGCCACUUAACUCUGGGCUUCCAUCUGCCCAUCUAGAAAAUGGGGCUCUGGAUGGCCUCCAAGGUCCCUUCCCACUCCCACGUUCCGGUUUCCCCAGGGGCUUUAUUUAAAAGCAAAACCCCAAGUUCACGUCUGUCACCAUCCGAGGCUUCCACUGUCUCCUUCCUCAUAUAGGUGCUCUUCCUCGGAUGCACCCCUACAUGCAGGGCACAUAUGCCUCUGCCAUCUCAUCCAUUCAUGGCACACGUAUUGCGGGUGUUUGGUCCAGAGCAACAAAGCUCAAGUAUAGGACACAGCUCAAGUACAGGUGAGCCGCCAAGUUAAGGAGGGAAGCCCAGACCAGCCCACCUGUGCUAGAAAAGAGGGCACUCUAGUUCUUUCCCGAAGGUUACCCUGAUCCCUUCCUCUUUUUCUCCCUCCUUUCUUUUCUUCUCCCCCAUCCCUCUUCAGAUCUUCUCGCUUCCCUCCCUCUGCCUAUCCCUCUCCCUCCUUCCUCCCCCCCCCCACUUUCCUUGUCUCUACCUCUCCCAGCGCCGCCACCUUGCACCCCAGCUGAGACUCGAACCUCUUACCAGGGGCUGCACGCCCAAGUAGCAGGCCAGGAGGUAGGCACUCACUUCCAAGUCAUUGCGCUUGGGGGGAGGAGGUAGGGCAGGAGGGGGGAGGAGAGAGGGCCGGGGGAGGGGGCAAGGGGGAGGUGGCGGCAGAAGCCGGGGGAGAGGAGGAGGAGGAGGAGGAGGAGGAGGAGAGGAGGAGAGGAGGAGGAGGAGGAGAGGAGGAGGAGGAGGAGGAGGAGGAGGAGGAGGAGGAGGAGGAGGAGGAGGAGGAGGAGGAGGAGGAGGAGGAGGAGGAGGAGGAGGAGGAGGAGGAGGAGGAGGGCGAGGCGGACUAGGCAUGCUCGCUCAGCAGCGGCCGCUUCAGGCUGGGCUGCUCUCUCUCUCUCGCUUGCUUGCUCGCUCACAACCCCGCGGCCGGGGACGGCGGCGGCGGCGGCGGCGGGGCCAGCAGCGGGAGGCAGCAUGAGGGAGCCUCUCGAGCUUCCCUCUUUGCCCCAUUCUUUUUCAGUCCAGCAAACAGGAGAGUCCACAAUCUUCAAAGAGAUCAAAAUCAGUGUGAGUUGGGAAUUCAUUUUUUUUUAAAAAUAGAAGUGAGGUUAGAUGAUUUUUAAAUUGCAUGUACUGAACAGUACUUUUUAAUAUAAAAAGAAGGCUUAGCAUUUGAAUUGUUGGAGAUUACAAUGUUAUACUAUUAUUUUAUUUCUUUUUUGGUCUGGAUCUAAGAUUUCAG